CCUACGGGAGGCAGCAGUGGGGAAUAUUGGACAAUGGGCGAAAGCCUGAUCCAGCCAUGCCGCGUGUGUGAAGAAGGCCUUCGGGUUGUAAAGCACUUUCAGUGGGGAAGAAAGCCUUGGGGCUAAUACCCUCGAGGAAGGACAUCACCCACAGAAGAAGCACCGGCUAACUCCGUGCCAGCAGCCGCGGUAAUACGGAGGGUGCGAGCGUUAAUCGGAAUUACUGGGCGUAAAGCGCGCGUAGGCGGUCUGAUAAGCCGGUUGUGAAAGCCCCGGGCUCAACCUGGGAACGGCAUCCGGAACUGUCAGGCUAGAGUGCAGGAGAGGAAGGUAGAAUUCCCGGUGUAGCGGUGAAAUGCGUAGAGAUCGGGAGGAAUACCAGAGGCGAAGGCGGCCUUCUGGACUGACACUGACGCUGAGGUGCGAAAGCGUGGGUAGCAAACAGGAUUAGAUACCCUAGUAGUC
RNAcentral lists this ribosomal RNA (465 nucleotides) under Vreelandella stevensii. Its description in RNAcentral is "partial 16S ribosomal RNA". It matches the Rfam family "Bacterial small subunit ribosomal RNA", at positions 338 to 795 of the family's 1533-position model. Lineage: Bacteria; Pseudomonadati; Pseudomonadota; Gammaproteobacteria; Oceanospirillales; Halomonadaceae. The record is from RNAcentral.